GAGUGGGGGAUAACGUUUCUAACGAGACGCUAAUACCGCAUGACACCGGUUGUAGGCAUCUAUGACCGGUCAAAGGUGGCCUCUGUUUCAAGCUGUCGCUUGAGGAUGGCCCCGCGUCCGAUUAGCUAGAUGGUGGGGUAACGGCCUACCAUGGCGACGAUCGGUAGCCGGCCUGAGAGGGUGUCCGGCCUCACUGGGACUGAGAUACGGCCCAGACUCCUACGGGAGGCAGCAGUCGAGAGGCUUCCGCAAUGGGGGAAACCCUGACGGAGCGACGCCGCGUGGGUGAGGAAGGUCUUCGGAUCGUAAAACCCUGUCAGGAGGGACGAAAACCGGAUUGGCUAAUACCCUUUCCGCUUGACGGUACCUCCAGAGGAAGCUCCGGCUAACUCCGUGCCAGCAGCCGCGGUAACACGGAGGGAGCAAACGUUGUUCGGAAUUACUGGGCGUAAAGGGCGUGUAGGCGGUUCUCUAAGUCGGGGGUGAAAUCCAGUGGCUCAACCAUUGGCCUGCCUUCGAAACUGGGGAACUUGAGGCCGUGAGAGGAAAGCGGAAUUCCUGGUGUAUCGGUGAAAUGAGUUGAUAUCAGGAGGAACACCAGUGGCGAAGGCGGCUUUCUGGCGCGGUUCUGACGCUGAGGCGCGAAAGCAUGGGGAGCAAACGGGAUUAGAUACCCCGGUAGUCCAUGCUGUAAACGAUGAGAACUAGGUGUCGGGGGUAUCGACCCCCUCGGCGCCGCAGCUAACGCA
This 749-nucleotide ribosomal RNA is filed under the name uncultured organism. RNAcentral's name for it is "bacterial SSU rRNA". It matches the Rfam family "Bacterial small subunit ribosomal RNA", at positions 134 to 859 of the family's 1533-position model. The record is from RNAcentral.